Molecule: long non-coding RNA, 325 nt
Organism: Nymphalis io (European peacock)
Lineage: Eukaryota; Metazoa; Arthropoda; Insecta; Lepidoptera; Nymphalidae
Exons: 2
Source: RefSeq, a predicted model, not a curated record
UUAAGCAAUCGCUUGAAUUGUAAAGGUUUCAACUUAAUAUAAAUUAUUUAAAAAUGAAAAUUUUCAACAUUUUCUUCGUGGUUUUUGCCUGCUUCAUGGCCCUGAGCUCCGUGAACGCUGCGCCUUGGAAUCCUUUAAAGGAAUUGGAAAGAGCUGGGCAAAGAGUUAGGGACGCCAUUAUCUCUGCUGGACCAGCUGUUGAAGUCGUGGGUCAAGCAUCGUCCAUAUUGAAAGGGAAGAAUUAAUAAUAAAAUAAAUGUAUAACGUAUUAUACAGCCUGUGAUUCUAUUCUAAAAACAAUAUAUGUACUACCAAUAAUUCUAAA